RNAcentral lists this RNase P RNA (415 nucleotides) under Deltaproteobacteria bacterium. RNAcentral's name for it is "RNase P RNA component class A". It matches the Rfam family "Bacterial RNase P class A". From Rfam's summary of the family: Ribonuclease P (RNase P) is a ubiquitous endoribonuclease, found in archaea, bacteria and eukarya as well as chloroplasts and mitochondria. Its best characterised activity is the generation of mature 5'-ends of tRNAs by cleaving the 5'-leader elements of precursor-tRNAs. Cellular RNase Ps are ribonucleoproteins. The record is from RNAcentral. Lineage: Bacteria; Pseudomonadati; Myxococcota; Myxococcia.
CCCAGGCGAUGAGGCGACCGCCGGCGACGGGCCGUAAUCCGCCGCGGGAGGAAAGUCCGGGCUCCACAGGGCAGGGUGCCGGGUAACGCCCGGUGGGGGCGACCCCGAGGAGAGCGCCACAGAAAACAUACCACCCCGCGCACGGCCCGCGAGGGCCGGACGAGGGGCCAGGGUGAAAAGGUGCGGCAAGAGCGCACCGGGGGCCCGGCGACGGGCCUCGCAUGGCACGCCCCACCCGGAGCAAGACCGAAUAGGGGGCCGCCGGGGAAACCCGGCCUAGGGUGGCCCGCCCGAGUCCCCCGGGUACAGGUCGCUGGAGCCGGCCGGCAACGGCCGGCCUGGAGGAAUGGCCGCCGCCCCCGCGGGCGCAAGUCCGCGAGGGAGACAGAACCCGGCUUACGGUCGUCUGGGCCCG